This 745-nucleotide ribosomal RNA is filed under the name uncultured bacterium. RNAcentral's name for it is "bacterial SSU rRNA". It matches the Rfam family "Bacterial small subunit ribosomal RNA", at positions 28 to 769 of the family's 1533-position model. The record is from RNAcentral.
AUUGAACGCUGGCGGAAUGCUUUACACAUGCAAGUCGGGCGGCAGCAUGGACUUCGGUCUGAUGGCGAGCGUCGAACGGGUGAGUAAUGCAUCGGAACGUACCUAGUCGUGGGGGAUAACUACUCGAAAGAGUAGCUAAUACCGCAUACGUCCUACGGGAGAAAGCAGGGAUCGCAAGACCUUGCGCGAUUGGAGCGGCCGAUGUCUGAUUAGCUAGUUGGUGGGGUAAAGCUCACCAAGGCGACGAUCAGUAGCGGGUCUGAGAGGAUGAUCCGCCACACUGGGACUGAGACACGGCCCAGACUCCUACGGGAGGCAGCAGUGGGGAAUUUUGGACAAUGGGCGCAAGCCUGAUCCAGCCAUUCCGCGUGAGUGAAGAAGGCCUCGGGUUGUAAAGCUCUUUCGGCAGGAAAGAAAUCGCCCGCUCUAACAUAGCGGGUGGAUGACGGUACCUGAAGAAGAAGCACCGGCUAACUACGUGCCAGCAGCCGCGGUAAUACGUAGGGUGCGAGCGUUAAUCGGAAUUACUGGGCGUAAAGCGUGCGCAGGCGGCUUUUUAAGCCAGAUGUGAAAUCCCCGGGCUUAACCUGGGAACUGCAUUUGGAACUGGAAGGCUAGAGUGCGGCAGAGGGGGUGAGAAUUCCACGUGUAGCAGUGAAAUGCGUAGAGAUGUGGAGGAAUACCGAUGGCGAAGGCAGCCCCUGGCUGCGACACUGACGCUCAUGCACGAAAAGCGUGGGGGAGC